Molecule: ribosomal RNA, 277 nt
Filed under: uncultured bacterium
Lineage: Bacteria
Description: partial 16S ribosomal RNA
Rfam family: Bacterial small subunit ribosomal RNA
Source: RNAcentral
AAUCAACGCUGGCGGCGCGCUUAACACAUGCAAGUCGAGCGAGAAAGGGGGAGCAAUCCUCUGAGUACAGCGGCGCACGGGUGAGUAACACGUGGAUGAUCUACCUCGAAGUGGGGAAUAACCCUGGGAAACCGGGGCUAAGACCGCAUACGCCCGCAAGGGGAAAGCCGCAAGGCGCUUGGAGAGGAGUCCGCGGCCGAUUAGCUAGUUGGUAGGGUAACGGCCUACCAAGGCGGGGAUCGGUAGCCGGCCUGAGAGGGCACACGGCCACACUGGC